RNAcentral lists this ribosomal RNA (525 nucleotides) under uncultured bacterium. RNAcentral's name for it is "bacterial SSU rRNA". It matches the Rfam family "Bacterial small subunit ribosomal RNA", at positions 440 to 970 of the family's 1533-position model. The record is from RNAcentral.
ACGGAGCGAAUAGCUCCGAUGAUGACGGUACCCUUUAGCAAGCACCGGCUAACUCUGUGCCAGCAGCCGCGGUAAGACAGAGGGUGCAAACGUUGUUCGGAAUUACUGGGCGUAAAGCGCGUGUAGGCUGCUCGACAAGUCGGAUGUGAAAGCCCCUGGGCUCAACCUAGGAAGUGCAUUCGAUACUGUCGAGCUUGAGUCCUGGAGAGGAAGGCGGAAUUCUCGGUGUAGAGGUGAAAUUCGUAGAUAUCGAGAGGAACACCGGUGGCGAAGGCGGCCUUCUGGACAGUGACUGACGCUGAGACGCGAAAGCGUGGGGAGCAAACAGGAUUAGAUACCCUGGUAGUCCACGCCGUAAACGAUGGGUGCUAGGUGUCGCGGGCUUUGACCCCUGCGGUGCCGUAGCUAACGCAUUAAGCACCCCGCCUGGGGAGUACGGCCGCAAGGCUAAAACUCAAAGGAAUUGACGGGGGGCCCGCACAAGCGGUGGAGCAUGUGGUUCAAUUCGACGCAACGCGCAGAACC